UACGUAUGGGCGAGCGUUGUUCGGAAUUAUUGGGCGUAAAGGGCGUCUAGGCGGGGAUUUAAGUUAGGUGUGAAAGCUAUGGGCUCAACCCAUAAACUGCAUCCGAUACUGCCAUGCUAGAGAACUGAAGAGGAGUGUAGAAUUCUCGGUGUAGCAGUGAAAUGCGUAGAUAUCGAGAGGAAUACCAACGGCGAAGGCAGCACUCUGGGCAGUUUCUGACACUGAGGCACGAAGGCUAGGGGAGCAAAC
RNAcentral lists this ribosomal RNA (249 nucleotides) under uncultured bacterium. Its description in RNAcentral is "partial 16S ribosomal RNA". It matches the Rfam family "Bacterial small subunit ribosomal RNA", at positions 524 to 773 of the family's 1533-position model. The record is from RNAcentral.